Molecule: ribosomal RNA, 489 nt
Filed under: Triticum aestivum (bread wheat)
Lineage: Eukaryota; Viridiplantae; Streptophyta; Magnoliopsida; Poales; Poaceae
Description: partial small subunit ribosomal RNA
Source: RNAcentral
AUGGCCGGCGGACGAGGCAAAGCCAAGCCGCUCGAGUUCACGCCGACAUGGAUCGUCGCGUCCGUCUGCUCCAUCAUCGUCAUCAUCUCCCUUCUCUUCGAACGCUUGCUGCACCGCCUAGGCAAGAGGCUGAAGAAGAGCCAAAAGAAGCCGCUGUAUGAGGCCCUCCUGAAGGUGAUGGAGGAGCUGAUGCUACUGGGGUUCAUAUCGCUGCUGCUCAACGUGUUCCAGGCCCCCCUGGGGAAGGUAUGCGUCCGCCGGAGCGCCAUGCGCCACAUGCUUCCCUGCAAGCCGCCGCCGCGCCGGCCGCACAAGACUGAGCACUUUGCCCAUGCUGUGUUCACCGGCGUCAUGGGCGGGCCCAGGCGGCUCCUGGCUGGAGGAGGCGCCUCCGACGAAUACUGCCUCAAGAAGGUACUAGCUUCAAAUAAUUGGCAGUGGAGGUUCUUGUUAAAUUGUGAUCCAAAUUCUAGUAUCGUAUUGUACUAG